This 547-nucleotide long non-coding RNA is filed under the name Saimiri boliviensis boliviensis (Bolivian squirrel monkey). RNAcentral's name for it is "lncRNA (ENSSBOG00000036651.1)". Lineage: Eukaryota; Metazoa; Chordata; Mammalia; Primates; Cebidae. The record is from RNAcentral.
UAAUCAAUGGCAUUUCCAUUCUCCUAGCAGACCACCCUUGAGGCUUUGUUCUUACAGAAGCCAGGUUGAAGCUUCCCAGCACCCAAGUAGCCCCAUUCAAUGGGAAAUUCCAAACCAAGGCCUCCAAGAAGGAAAAGAGCAUAAAUUCCAGAGACUCCAAACCUUGAAUUCAACGAAAACCAACCCCCAAGUAAAGGAGAAGAUGAUCAAGAUGGCUGGAGUCUGAACCUAGUCAACUGCUAGGAUGCAAACACACUGGUUCUGACUCUGCUCCCCCAAAUAUGAAUUAGGUACUGCUGUGUGCCAGACAUGCAACCAGGAGCUAGAGAUGCAAAAGGUCAUUGAGGAGUCCUGGCCCGGGAAGCCUACAGUCUGAGCUCACCUCUACACCCUGACCCUUUUAGGAAAUAGGCUGUUUCCCAAACUUCUGUUGUUGUGGUCCCAGUGUCAGAAUUCAUGUGUGUAAACAGGGAUUUGGUCCCAUUAAUGUUGUGAAGAAAAGGCAGUAAUGAUUAAAAAAUAAAAAUAAAAAUGUGAGAAGACAGGC